AGAGUUUGAUCCUGGCUCAGGAUGAACGCUGGCGGCGUGCCUAAUACAUGCAAGUCGAGCGAACAGACGAGGAGCUUGCUUCUCUGACGUUAGCGGCGGACGGGUGAGUAACACGUGGAUAACCUACCUAUAAGACUGGGAUAACUUCGGGAAACCGGAGCUAAUACCGGAUAAUAUAUUGAACCGCAUGGUUCAAUAGUGAAAGACGGUUUUGCUGUCACUUAUAGAUGGAUCCGCGCCGCAUUAGCUAGUUGGUAAGGUAACGGCUUACCAAGGCAACGAUGCGUAGCCGACCUGAGAGGGUGAUCGGCCACACUGGAACUGAGACACGGUCCAGUUUCCUACGGGAGGCAGCAGUAGGGAAUCUUCCGCAAUGGGCGAAAGCCUGACGGAGCAACGCCGCGUGAGUGAUGAAGGUCUUCGGAUCGUAAAACUCUGUUAUUAGGGAAGAACAAAUGUGUAAGUAAUUAUGCACGUCUUGACGGUACCUAAUCAGAAAGCCACGGCUAACUACGUGCCAGCAGCCGCGGUAAUACGUAGGUGGCAAGCGUUAUCCGGAAUUAUUGGGCGUAAGGCGCGCGUAGGCGGUUUUUUAAGUCUGAUGUGAAAGCCCACGGCUCAACCGUGGAGGGUCAUUGGAAACUGGAAAACUUGAGUGCAGAAGAGGAAAGUGGAAUUCCAUGUGUAGCGGUGAAAUGCGCAGAGAUAUGGAGGAACGCCAGUGGCGAAGGCGACUUUCUGGUCUGUAACUGACGCUGAUGUGCGAAAGCGUGGGGAUCAAACAGGAUUAGAUACCCUGGUAGUCUACGCCGUAAAC
RNAcentral lists this ribosomal RNA (817 nucleotides) under uncultured bacterium. RNAcentral's name for it is "bacterial SSU rRNA". It matches the Rfam family "Bacterial small subunit ribosomal RNA", at positions 8 to 807 of the family's 1533-position model. The record is from RNAcentral.